RNAcentral lists this ribosomal RNA (253 nucleotides) under uncultured bacterium. RNAcentral's name for it is "partial 16S ribosomal RNA". It matches the Rfam family "Bacterial small subunit ribosomal RNA", at positions 524 to 776 of the family's 1533-position model. The record is from RNAcentral.
GACGUAGGGCGCGAGCGUUGUCCGGAUUUAUUGGGCGUAAAGAGCUCGUAGGCGGCUCGUUGCGUCGGCUGUGAAAACCCGCAGCUCAACUGUGGGCUUGCAGCUGAUACGGGCGGGCUGGGAUUCGGUAGGGGAGACUGGAAUUCCUGGUGUAGCGGUGAAAUGCGCAGAUAUCAGGAGGAACACCGGUGGCGAAGGCAGCUCUCUGGGACGGUACUGACGCUGAGACGCGAAAGCGUGGGGAGCGAACAGG